CCCUUAGACGUUCUGGGCCGCACGCGCGCUACACUGACCAGUGCAACAAGCAUCCGUCCUUGGCCGACAGGCCCGGGCAAUCUUUGAACGCUGGCCGUGAUGGGGAUAGACUUUUGCAAUUUUUGGUCUUCAACGAGGAAUUCCUAGUAAACGCAAGUCAUCAACUUGCAUUGAUUACGUCCCUGCCCUUUGUACACACCGCCCGUCGCACCUACCGAUUGAAUGGUCCGGUGAAAUCUCGGGACGGCGGCUUGGUCGCUUGCGUCCGACUGCUGAAACUUGAUUAAACCAUAUCAUUUAGAGGAAGGUGAAGUCGUAACA
This 321-nucleotide ribosomal RNA is filed under the name uncultured eukaryote. RNAcentral's name for it is "partial 18S ribosomal RNA". It matches the Rfam family "Eukaryotic small subunit ribosomal RNA", at positions 1470 to 1796 of the family's 1831-position model. The record is from RNAcentral.